Molecule: long non-coding RNA, 1402 nt
Organism: Vombatus ursinus (common wombat)
Lineage: Eukaryota; Metazoa; Chordata; Mammalia; Diprotodontia; Vombatidae
Exons: 3
Source: RefSeq, a predicted model, not a curated record
AUCCGGCCUACUUAAUGACUCAAGCCUGUCUCUUUCCCCAUGUAGGCCCCCUUCGCAGUGAGAAUGGGAAAAGUGGCCAUUGACAAAGGAAUGGAGGUGGACAUCGCAUCUGGAAUGGCCAUUGAAGGAAUGUGUUAUGCCCAGAACAUCCCAACCCGGGACAGGCUGGAGGGCAUGGCAGCCUUCCGGGAGAAGCGGCCACCCCGCUUUGUUGGCGAGUGACUCUGAUGGUGUUGUUGUGGGGGAGGGGGCUGUCCCCCUCCCUGCAGCUUUGGCUCCCGCAGGCAGGAGCACCUACUACAAGUCAGGUCUUAGAAGCACGUCCUCUGUUCUUCCAUAAAGUCCUUCACCUUGGUCAGUAACUACUGUGAUUUCUGUUUCCUCUGUGUCAUGGCCUUGCUGCUCUGGCACUGGGGCCCGUUGGCCUUCUGCCAUCCCAGACACACAGGGUGCAUCCAUCAGGAUCUCUCAUCCACCACACCCCUCAGGCUACAUGUCUUACAGGUGUGGAAAGACCUCAGGAGGCAGGAGAGACUCGGGGGCCCCUCUCCAGGUUUCAUUCUCUCUCUCCAUAAAGCAGGGGAUUAAACUAAGGUUCAGUCUAACAAUUGAGCUAACGAUAAUAACUGGCAUUUAUAUGGGACUUCUAUGAUAUGAGCUCAUGAUCCUCACAACAGUCCUGGGAGAUGCUACUAUUAUCCCCACUUUACCGAUGAAGAAACUGAGGCCCAGAGAGAUUAAGGAACUUGCUAACAAGUGUCUGAAGUAGGAUUCAAACACUGUGGCCUACAACCUAGCUGUCUUCUACUGACAGAUAGACAGACACCUACAAGGCUGGGGACUUAGGGCUGACAUUUUCUGGCCCAGACCCGGGCUCUCUCCUCCUGUACCGGGGGCAGCUUUCUCAGCUUUCCUGGCCAUGACCUACAAAAGCCACCUCCAUGCUCUUGGCCACGGGUCCCAGAAAUGACCUGACAGUAUGCUCUUCAUGGUGCUUCCACCCCCAUCCCCUAGCUGGCAUGGUUGCCUGACCACCCUGGGCACCCAGAAAAUAUGAAAACUGGGCCGUAUGGGCAGUGCCCGCCUUGUGGAUAGUGCCUGGAGUCCAGGGGGGCCUUGUAGACCAACUAGCACAACACUCAUUCUGGGAGCCCCAAGGGGGUGAACAACAGAACGGCAGAGGCAGCAUCAGGCGUCCCUUCCUGCCCUCCCAGGUCUCAUGGGAGCCCCAUAAACAACUCUGUGAGGCAGAUGCCACAGGAACUGUUAACUGACACUGGGUGUCACUGGGACCCCACUGGGACCACUGCCGAAGCUGCUGGGGGGCCUGCCUCCCUCAUCUCUCCCCAGCCCCAUCCAGUCCAUCCAUCUCCCUCAGCUAUCAUGAUGAUCUUCCAAAGCA